CACAUGCAAGUCAAGGGGAACGAUAUUGGAAGCUUGCUUCCGAUAGGCGUCGACCGGCGCACGGGUGAGUAACGCGUAUCCAACCUGCCCACCACUUGGGGAUAACCUUGCGAAAGUAAGACUAAUACCCAAUGACGUCUCUAGAAGACAUCUGAAAGAGAUUAAAGAUUUAUCGGUGAUGGAUGGGGAUGCGUCUGAUUAGCUUGUUGGCGGGGUAACGGCCCACCAAGGCUACGAUCAGUAGGGGUUCUGAGAGGAAGGUCCCCCACAUUGGAACUGAGACACGGUCCAAACUCCUACGGGAGGCAGCAGUGAGGAAUAUUGGUCAAUGGACGAGAGUCUGAACCAGCCAAGUAGCGUGCAGGAUGACGGCCCUAUGGGUUGUAAACUGCUUUUAUAAGGGAAUAAAGUGAGUCUCGUGAGACUUUUUGCAUGUACCUUAUGAAUAAGGACCGGCUAAUUCCGUGCCAGCAGCCGCGGUAAUACGGAAGGUCCGGGCGUUAUCCGGAUUUAUUGGGUUUAAAGGGAGCGUAGGCCGGAGAUUAAGCGUGUUGUGAAAUGUAGACGCUCAACGUCUGCACUGCAGCGCGAACUGGUUUCCUUGAGUACGCACAAAGUGGGCGGAAUUCGUGGUGUAGCGGUGAAAUGCUUAGAUAUCACGAAGAACUCCGAUUGCGAAGGCAGCUCACUGGAGCGCAACUGACGCUGAAGCUCGAAAGUGCGGGUAUCGAACAGGAUUAGAUACCCUGGUAGUCCGCACGGUAAACGAUGGAUGCCCGCUGUUGGUCUGAAUAGGUCAGCGGCCAAGCGAAAGCAUUAAGCAUCCCACCUGGGGAGUACGCCGGCAACGGUGAAACUCAAAGGAAUUGACGGGGGCCCGCACAAGCGGAGGAACAUGUGGUUUAAUUCGAUGAUACGCGAGGAACCUUACCCGGGCUUGAAUUGCAGA
This 949-nucleotide ribosomal RNA is filed under the name uncultured bacterium. Its description in RNAcentral is "bacterial SSU rRNA". It matches the Rfam family "Bacterial small subunit ribosomal RNA", at positions 52 to 992 of the family's 1533-position model. The record is from RNAcentral.